Molecule: non-coding RNA, 89 nt
Filed under: bovine gut metagenome
Description: Glycine riboswitch
Rfam family: Glycine riboswitch aptamer
About the family: This family represents the bacterial glycine riboswitch.
Source: RNAcentral
UAAUCUCUGGAGAGUCCCCGUUUAUGGGGCGCCGAAGGUGUAAAGCAGCUGCGGGGAGCUGCCUAUCUCUCAGGCAAACGGACAGAGCA